ACAGAUAAUCGAUUAUUCUGGCAAAAAAAAAAAUUCAUAAGUUACUGGACCAGGUUAGUCGAUUAACUUAAAAGUUAAUCGAGUAACCUGGUAUAUAGAAAAACGUUUCAAACUUACUGGACCGUGUUAAGUUAAUCGACUAAUAUGGCUUGCGGAAAUAUACAGAAUAUUUCUGAAAAAUAAGUUAGCCGACUAACAUAAAAGUUAGUCGAUUAACUUUUAACACUGUCUUUAAGUUAGUCGACUAACAGAA
RNAcentral lists this long non-coding RNA (253 nucleotides) under Nicotiana benthamiana. RNAcentral describes it as "long non-coding RNA (NBEN_LNC029525)". The record is from RNAcentral. Lineage: Eukaryota; Viridiplantae; Streptophyta; Magnoliopsida; Solanales; Solanaceae.